This 429-nucleotide ribosomal RNA is filed under the name Pseudomonadota bacterium. Its description in RNAcentral is "Proteobacteria bacterium partial 16S ribosomal RNA". It matches the Rfam family "Bacterial small subunit ribosomal RNA", at positions 355 to 776 of the family's 1533-position model. The record is from RNAcentral. Lineage: Bacteria; Pseudomonadati; Pseudomonadota.
UGGGGAAUAUUGGACAAUGGGCGAAAGCCUGAUCCAGCCAUGCCGCGUGUGUGAAGAAGGUCUUCGGAUUGUAAAGCACUUUAAGUUGGGAGGAAGGGCAGUAAGCGAAUACCUUGCUGUUUUGACGUUACCGACAGAAUAAGCACCGGCUAACUCUGUGCCAGCAGCCGCGGUAAUACAGAGGGUGCAAGCGUUAAUCGGAAUUACUGGGCGUAAAGCGCGCGUAGGUGGUUCGUUAAGUUGAAUGUGAAAGCCCCGGGCUCAACCUGGGAACUGCAUCCAAAACUGGCGAGCUAGAGUAGGGCAGAGGGUGGUGGAAUGUCCUGUGUAGCGGUGAAAUGCGUAGAUAUAGGAAGGAACACCAGUGGCGAAGGCGACCACCUGGGCUCAUACUGACACUGAGGUGCGAAAGCGUGGGGAGCAAACAGG